RNAcentral lists this long non-coding RNA (706 nucleotides) under Calidris pugnax (ruff). Its description in RNAcentral is "lncRNA (ENSCPUG00000003835.1)". Lineage: Eukaryota; Metazoa; Chordata; Aves; Charadriiformes; Scolopacidae. The record is from RNAcentral.
GACAAACUGAAGUCCAGUUUAUGUGCAGAGGCAUUUUGGCACAUUGCUUGUAUUUAUUGCCUUUACUGUGUCUGUUGCACUGCUGUGGUGUUUGGUGUAAUACAGCAAGGUGAGAAUUAUUACUAAUGUCAUGACGGUAGGAAAAUCAAAGACUCCUAGCAAAGGCUUGAAAGGCAGUGUUGUUGGUUUUGCAGGGAGUGGGAGCAGGAGGUAAGCAGCUUUCCAUCUGCAGAGACAAAGAAACAGGCCUGGGAAAAAAGGAAAUAAUGCCUUCCCCCUCCCAUAGUGAACACCCAAGGAUGUCACUGUCCCAGUCCUCAAAAGAGCUUUAUCUCGUACCUUGGAUCAACUUUGUCAAAUGAAGAAAGGCUUUGCAAGUGGUUCUUGCCAAGAGAAGAUGACACUUCUGCUCCAUGAAAUGUAGUCUAAAGGUUGUUUGGGAAGCAGCAGGAAAACACCACGGGUGGAGCCAUUUCCCUUUCAGCUUUAACAAGUACACAGCAUCUCCAGAUACCUGAAGUCACCUAUUCUGAGUCAGGGGUAUGAGAAGAGAAGCACUGUAUCUUUCAUAAAAAGUGAGCAUCACCUACCUCUCAUUAAAGCAUUCUUCAGUUCAGGUAAAUUAUUCAUCCUUCUUUUUGUGCCCUGUCCUGAGUUGUAGAGGGAUGUUUGUUGAGGUGUAAAUGAAUCACUGCCCUUAGUGGAG